This 1209-nucleotide long non-coding RNA is filed under the name Nicotiana tabacum (common tobacco). Its description in RNAcentral is "long non-coding RNA (NTAB_LNC001666)". Lineage: Eukaryota; Viridiplantae; Streptophyta; Magnoliopsida; Solanales; Solanaceae. The record is from RNAcentral.
AGAAGUCUCCAACUCUGUCCUCAUCAUUCUUUUCUUUCUUUGUUAUUUUCUUGACUGCUACAACUUGUCCAUCAGGUAAAUGUCCUUUGUACACUUCUGCAUGUCCUCCUUUGCCAAUCAAGUUAUCUGUCACAUUUCCAAGGUAUAAAAUCAGUAGAAUAUUUAGCAUAAACUACGUGCAAAGUUAUUUGAUGUUGGCACUUCUAUUUUCAAGUAAGCGUGCACAUUAUGCAAUCUAAUUAUAAGACUAUACUCCCUUUGUUUUAAUUUAUGUGAACCUAUUUUAUUUUUAGUCUAUGCCAAAAAGAAUGACCUUUUUUCCAUUUGGAANCAAUUUACCUUUAUGCAAUGAUUUAUAGUCACACAAAAUAUAUGUGCCUCAUUUUACACCACAAGUUUAAAAGCCUUAUCUUUUUUUUUAACUCUGUGUCCAGUCAAAUGGGUUCACAUAAAUUGAAAUGGAGGGAGUAAUACAUUUCCUUGAAAGCAACAUAUUUUAGGUAAAAUUGUGAGAUUCUUGAAAAAACUUUCUUUUUGUAUCCGGACCAACUUAAUUAUUUCACUGGGUAUCUCACAACAUUAUUGGGUUAAAAUGAGGAUAAAGAUCAAUUUUAGCCCGCGGGCGAAAUUAUUUAUAUUUGGUAGCUGCAAAAGUGUAUAAAAUUUAUGUAUUUUCUUGUAUAUAACAUACAGAAAUAUAUACAUAUCCAAAAAAUAUAUAAAAAAUUAUACAUUUUUCAUCUAUUAUUUCGAGAGCGGCUAUAUAGUGCCAUUUUUCCUAAAAAUGACUACGAAGAUUCACAUAGAUAGAUAGAAAUCACCUAGCAUUUUUUAUCAUGGUUGGAAUUUGAAUCAAGUUUUCUAUAUUUUCAUCCCUUAGGAGCUUGUGGAAUUCUUGGACAAUUGGACCAUUCAUUUAUUUUUUUUCUUUUUGAGUCAAUAAUAAUGGCAAGAAGCUGCAGGCAUGUGCAGAUGAGUACACUUGCAGCUGCUCAGCUGCAUCAACAUGGCCUUGGAGCAGAAAUUUCAAACUUGAGGGGACAAAUUGAAACAUCAAGGCCCAUAGACAGUAAUAGAAAAAUUAAAUACUCCCUUUUGUUUCAAUUUAGAUAAUACAAUUUCAUUGUUGGCAAUGACACAUUUCUACAAUUGAAUAAUUUAAUUCUAAAUUCUUUAUUUUUCUCAUUUUACUCUUAAUGAGAAGCUUUU